AUUGAACGCUGGCGGCAGGCCUAACACAUGCAAGUCGAACGGUAGCACAGAGAGCUUGCUCUCGGGUGACGAGUGGCGGACGGGUGAGUAAUGUCUGGGAAACUGCCCGAUGGAGGGGGAUAACUACUGGAAACGGUAGCUAAUACCGCAUAACGUCGCAAGACCAAAGUGGGGGACCUUCGGGCCUCACACCAUCGGAUGUGCCCAGGUGGGAUUAGCUAGUAGGUGGGGUAAUGGCUCACCUAGGCGACGAUCCCUAGCUGGUCUGAGAGGAUGACCAGCCACACUGGAACUGAGACACGGUCCAGACUCCUACGGGAGGCAGCAGUGGGGAAUAUUGCACAAUGGGCGCAAGCCUGAUGCAGCCAUGCCGCGUGUAUGAAGAAGGCCUUCGGGUUGUAAAGUACUUUCAGCGGGGAGGAAGGCGGUGAAGUUAAAAGCUUCACCGAUUGACGUUACCCGCAGAAGAAGCACCGGCUAACUCCGUGCCAGCAGCCGCCGCCG
This 504-nucleotide ribosomal RNA is filed under the name uncultured bacterium. Its description in RNAcentral is "partial 16S ribosomal RNA". It matches the Rfam family "Bacterial small subunit ribosomal RNA", at positions 29 to 523 of the family's 1533-position model. The record is from RNAcentral.